RNAcentral lists this ribosomal RNA (254 nucleotides) under uncultured bacterium. RNAcentral's name for it is "partial 16S ribosomal RNA". It matches the Rfam family "Bacterial small subunit ribosomal RNA", at positions 524 to 776 of the family's 1533-position model. The record is from RNAcentral.
UACGGGGGGAGCAAGCGUUGUUCGGAUUUACUGGGCGUAAAGGGCGCGUAGGCGGUCGUGACAAGUCACUUGUGAAAUCUCCGGGCUUAACUCGGAAAGGUCAACUGAUACUGUGCGACUAGAGUGCAGAAGGGGCAACUGGAAUUCUCGGUGUAGCGGUGAAAUGCGUAGAUAUCGAGAGGAACACCUGCGGCGAAGGCGGGUAGCUGGGCCGACACUGACGCUGAGGCGCGAAAGCUAGGGGAGCGAACGGG